Long non-coding RNA from Thalassophryne amazonica, 155 nucleotides. RefSeq lists it as uncharacterized. The transcript is spliced from 3 exons. NCBI's taxonomy places the organism in Eukaryota, Metazoa, Chordata, Actinopteri, Batrachoidiformes, Batrachoididae. The record is from RefSeq and is a predicted model, not a curated record.
GUUGUCUGAGUCUAAGGAGUGAUUUGUGACCAAAGAAUAUCAGCAAGAGUGAAGGGAAAGUUUACAAGACAUUAGUGAGACCAGCUAUGUUGUACGGCUUAGAGAUCGUGGCACUAAGAAAAAGACAAGAGACAGAGGUGAAGAUGUUGAGAUUC